GCUUAAAUACAUAUCAUGUUAAGGUUCAAC
Molecule: non-coding RNA, 30 nt
Filed under: Clostridium botulinum A str. ATCC 3502
Lineage: Bacteria; Bacillati; Bacillota; Clostridia; Eubacteriales; Clostridiaceae
Source: RNAcentral